This 441-nucleotide ribosomal RNA is filed under the name uncultured bacterium. Its description in RNAcentral is "partial 16S ribosomal RNA". It matches the Rfam family "Bacterial small subunit ribosomal RNA", at positions 338 to 795 of the family's 1533-position model. The record is from RNAcentral.
CCUACGGGAGGCAGCAGUGGGGGAUAUUGCACAAUGGGGGGAACCCUGAUGCAGCGACGCCGCGUGGGUGAAGGAGUAUUUCGGUAUGUAAAGCCCUAUCGGCAGGGAAGAAUUUAGACGGUACCUGACUAAGAAACCCCGGCUAACUACGUGCCAGCAGCCGCGGUAAUACGUAGGGGGCAAGCGUUAUCCGGAUUUACUGGGUGGAAAGGGAGCGUAGACGGCUGCGCACGUCUGAAGUGAAAGCCCGGGGCUCAACCCCGGGACUGCUUUGGAAACUGUGUAGCUAGAGUGCUGGAGAGGCAAGCGGAAUUCCUAGUGUAGCGGUGAAAUGCGUAGAUAUUAGGAAGAACACCAGUGGCGAAGGCGGCUUGCUGGACAGUAACUGACGUUGAGGCUCGAAAGCGUGGGGAGCAAACAGGAUUAGAUACCCCAGUAGUC